UACGUAGGCGGCAAGCGUUGUCCGGAAUUAUUGGGCGUAAAGGGAGCGCAGGCGGGAAACUAAGCGGAUCUUAAAAGUGCGGGGCUCAACCCCGUGAUGGGGUCCGAACUGGUUUUCUUGAGUGCAGGAGAGGAAAGCGGAAUUCCCAGUGUAGCGGUGAAAUGCGUAGAUAUUGGGAAGAACACCAGUGGCGAAGGCGGCUUUCUGGACUGUAACUGACGCUGAGGCUCGAAAGCUAGGGUAGCGAACGGGAUUAGAUAGUAGUCCGGCUGACUGACU
This 279-nucleotide ribosomal RNA is filed under the name Megamonas funiformis YIT 11815. Its description in RNAcentral is "partial 16S ribosomal RNA". It matches the Rfam family "Bacterial small subunit ribosomal RNA", at positions 524 to 801 of the family's 1533-position model. Lineage: Bacteria; Bacillati; Bacillota; Negativicutes; Selenomonadales; Selenomonadaceae. The record is from RNAcentral.